This is a small nuclear RNA of Epinephelus moara (kelp grouper), 192 nucleotides long. RefSeq annotates it as U2 spliceosomal RNA. The transcript has a single exon. The record is from RefSeq and is a predicted model, not a curated record. NCBI's taxonomy places the organism in Eukaryota, Metazoa, Chordata, Actinopteri, Perciformes, Serranidae.
AUAUACUUUGAAUAUGUUGAAAUUAAAAAAAAAAAAAAAUCUGUUCUUAUCAGUUUAAUAUCUGAUACGUCCCCUACCCGGGGACCAUAUAUUAAAUUGAUUUUUAGAACAGGGAGAUGGAAAAGGGGCUUGCCCCGUCCACUCCACGCAUCGACCUGGUAUUGCAGCACCUCCAGGAACGGUGCACCCCCC